AUCCUGUUGUAUGGGGCUGCUUCUGAGCAUGACAAAACAGAGGCCCAGAAUAAAUGCAGUGCGUGGUGCCCAGGCUAGUUCAGUCAACAUGGCUGGUUUCA
Tinamus guttatus (white-throated tinamou) is the source of this 101-nucleotide non-coding RNA. NCBI's taxonomy places the organism in Eukaryota, Metazoa, Chordata, Aves, Tinamiformes, Tinamidae. The record is from RefSeq and is a predicted model, not a curated record.